CAGUUCUCCUUGCAGUGAGUACUGUACAAUACACCAGGAUUGGUUAUGCUUCCCAGAUGGCCCAAAAUCAAGGCUGUGUUGGUGCACAGUGGGUGGAUGAGGAUGAGAGUAACUCAUCAAAAGGAGACGUGACUAAGACAAGAGAAUCUUCACAUAAUGCACCCUUAUCCAUGAGUGAACUGCAGAGCAGUUCACCAGUGCAGCAGAACGCUCCUGUUCACUUGGAUAAUGGUGAAUACUGGUCCAGUCGUGCAGCUGUGCACAAAGAGAAGCCUCACAGAGCGAUCUUUGAAGAGAGCCUCGGAAAAAUAUACAAAAACAUGUACCAAAAAGUUGCUGGCACUGUUUCAGACCAAAAAACACAUUCCUGA
RNAcentral lists this long non-coding RNA (371 nucleotides) under Manacus vitellinus (golden-collared manakin). RNAcentral describes it as "lncRNA (ENSMVIG00005011701.1)". The record is from RNAcentral. Lineage: Eukaryota; Metazoa; Chordata; Aves; Passeriformes; Pipridae.